AACGAACGCUGGCGGCAUGCCUAACACAUGCAAGUCGAACGAGAUCUUCGGGUCUAGUGGCGCACGGGUGCGUAACGCGUGGGAAUCUGCCCUUUGGUUCGGAAUAACAGUUGGAAACGACUGCUAAUACCGGAUGAUGACGAAAGUCCAAAGAUUUAUCGCCAGAGGAUGAGCCCGCGUAGGAUUAGCUAGUUGGUGUGGUAAAGGCGCACCAAGGCGACGAUCCUUAGCUGGUCUGAGAGGAUGAUCAGCCACACUGGGACUGAGACACGGCCACGACUCCUACGGGAGGCAGCAGUGGGGAAUAUUGGACAAUGGGCGAAAGCCUGAUCCAGCAAUGCCGCGUGAGUGAUGAAGGCCGUAGGGUUGUAAAGCUCUUUUACCCGGGAUGAUAAUGACAGUACCGGGAGAAUAAGCUCCGGCUAACUCCGUGCCAGCCGCCGCAGUAA
This 449-nucleotide ribosomal RNA is filed under the name uncultured bacterium. RNAcentral's name for it is "partial 16S ribosomal RNA". It matches the Rfam family "Bacterial small subunit ribosomal RNA", at positions 29 to 523 of the family's 1533-position model. The record is from RNAcentral.